CUCCGCUCCUGACAGAUGGCGCAACUGCAACGACGCGCCGCCGCCACCAGCGCGGCUGCUCGCUGCUACUCUUGCUGAUGCUCUGCCCCUCCAGCUCCGGAGGGGAGCGAGGAGGGGGCGGGGCGCGCCUCGAGAGUGACAGGCCCGGCUGCCCUAUCAAAGAGCCCCUUGGGAGCUGCGAGCCGCAACCAUUGGCGCCUGGGGCGUGGGCGGGACGGCAGUAGGUGGGGCCGCCGAGUGGGUUGAGCGUUACUGUGGCAGCGGGCAUCCCAGGGUGCGUGCGGUGCAGGGUGUGCAAGAAAAUGCGAGGUUGGAGGAGGAGCUUUAAAUGGAUUUGGACUCCUCAGGAGGAUUUGCUAAUGGUCUGAACAAGUGAAUAGAGCACUGCAAAAGAUUUGUAUACUAUUCCCGUUUUGAUCUUUUCUGCCAAUCUCUACCAAGAACUUGAUUAAAGAUCUGAGACGCUGUCCCUGGCCUACCCAAGUUUUAAUCUUCUCUUAAAUGUCAACUCAACAACAACACAUAUGGCAAGGGUAAAAACCCUCAAUGUAGAGUUUUUACAAAUCAACAAGAAAAUAAAGAUGAACGUUCGAACUGAAAAAUAUGUGCAACAGAAACAAAACCCAAAAUGGCCAGUAAAUGUGAUAGGAGGUUCAACAGGAAAAUGGAUAUCCAUACCCUACUAGUGGAAUUUUUAAUUGGUACAACAUUGCUGGAAGGCAGUUUAAUAGCAUUUGUGAAAAGCCUUUUAAAAAAAUGUAUACAUUUGACUUAGCAAUUUUACUUCUGGGAAAGAAUGGAACAAAUUUGCAAAUACACAAACACAAGCGCACAUAUCAUGGGAAUAAUUGGAACAUUGUUUAUAAUAGUGAAACACUGAGAAAAGUUCAUUGAUAAGGGAUUUGGUGUGUAAAUUAUGUUAUAUCUAUAAUAGAAUACUAUAUAGCCAUAAAAUUAUAACAUUGCCAUUUAUUUAUUUAUUUGUGUGGAAAGAUGUUCACAACAA
Molecule: long non-coding RNA, 1006 nt
Filed under: Homo sapiens (human)
Lineage: Eukaryota; Metazoa; Chordata; Mammalia; Primates; Hominidae
Description: HSALNT0336260
Source: RNAcentral